RNAcentral lists this ribosomal RNA (432 nucleotides) under uncultured bacterium. Its description in RNAcentral is "partial 16S ribosomal RNA". It matches the Rfam family "Bacterial small subunit ribosomal RNA", at positions 29 to 506 of the family's 1533-position model. The record is from RNAcentral.
AACGAACGCUGGCGGCAUGCCUAACACAUGCAAGUCGAACGAGACCUUCGGGUCUAGUGGCGCACGGGUGCGUAACGCGUGGGAAUCUGCCCUUGGGUUCGGAAUAACAGUUGGAAACGACUGCUAAUACCGGAUGAUGACGUAAGUCCAAAGAUUUAUCGCCCAGGGAUGAGCCCGCGUAGGAUUAGCUAGUUGGUGGGGUAAAGGCCUACCAAGGCGACGAUCCUUAGCUGGUCUGAGAGGAUGAUCAGCCACACUGGGACUGAGACACGGCCCAGACUCCUACGGGAGGCAGCAGUGGGGAAUAUUGGACAAUGGGCGAAAGCCUGAUCCAGCAAGGCCGCGUGAGUGAUGAAGGCCUUAGGGUUGUAAAACUCUUUUACCCGGGAUGAUAAUGACAGUACCGGGAGAAUAAGCCCCGGCUAACUCCGU